Molecule: ribosomal RNA, 253 nt
Filed under: uncultured bacterium
Lineage: Bacteria
Description: partial 16S ribosomal RNA
Rfam family: Bacterial small subunit ribosomal RNA
Source: RNAcentral
UACGUAGGGGGCAAGCGUUGUCCGGAAUCAUUGGGCGUAAAGAGCGUGUAGGCGGCCAGAUAAGUCCGCUGUGAAAACUCGAGGCUCAACUUCGAGCUGUCGGCGGAAACUAUCUGGCUAGAGUCCGGAAGAGGAGAGUGGAAUUCCUGGUGUAGCGGUGAAAUGCGCAGAUAUCAGGAAGAACACCCGUGGCGAAGGCGGUUCUCUGGGACGGUACUGACGCUGAGACGCGAAAGCGUGGGGAGCGAACAGG